CCCCUUUGCAGAAGCAUUUGAAACACUUAUAUCAGGCCUGCCGGUUCUUCCGGCUAUGGUGAUAAACGGCGUUGUAAUAAGCUCAUUGGACCCGGGGGCGGUACCCGGCGCCUCCACCACAAACAGGCGGUUCAGGCCUUUUUGUGAUGGGGGCGAAACAGGAUCGACAAGAGUGUAAAGAACGACCUUUUACCCGGCAUGAUACCACCGUUAUCGGGUCAAACGAGUAGUUGCAAAUGACAACAAAGCUCAGGGUUACGCUGUAGCUGCCUAAUGG
This 277-nucleotide transfer-messenger RNA is filed under the name Rhizobiaceae bacterium. RNAcentral's name for it is "partial transfer-messenger RNA". It matches the Rfam family "Alphaproteobacteria transfer-messenger RNA", at positions 1 to 273 of the family's 355-position model. Rfam says of the family: Bacterial tmRNA, also known as 10Sa RNA or SsrA, is named for its dual tRNA and mRNA-like properties. Lineage: Bacteria; Pseudomonadati; Pseudomonadota; Alphaproteobacteria; Hyphomicrobiales; Rhizobiaceae. The record is from RNAcentral.